AUGCUUGAUUUGGCAACACAUUACUAAGACUGGAAUGAUACAGAGAAGAUCAACAUGGCCCUUGCACACGGAUGACAUGCAAAUUCGUGGAAUGUUCCAUAUUUUU
This 106-nucleotide small nuclear RNA is filed under the name Carlito syrichta (Philippine tarsier). The record is from RNAcentral. Lineage: Eukaryota; Metazoa; Chordata; Mammalia; Primates; Tarsiidae.